UACGUAGGGUGCGAGCGUUAAUCGGAAUUACUGGGCGUAAAGCGUGCGCAGGCGGCUUUGCAAGACAGAUGUGAAAUCCCCGGGCUCAACCUGGGAACUGCAUUUGUGACUGCAAGGCUAGAGUACGGCAGAGGGGGAUGGAAUUCCGCGUGUAGCAGUGAAAUGCGUAGAUAUGCGGAGGAACACCAAUGGCGAAGGCAAUCAGCUGGGCCUGUACUGAAGCUCAUGCACGAAAGCGUGGGGAGCAAACAGG
RNAcentral lists this ribosomal RNA (253 nucleotides) under uncultured bacterium. RNAcentral's name for it is "partial 16S ribosomal RNA". It matches the Rfam family "Bacterial small subunit ribosomal RNA", at positions 524 to 776 of the family's 1533-position model. The record is from RNAcentral.